Molecule: ribosomal RNA, 782 nt
Filed under: uncultured Bacteroidota bacterium
Lineage: Bacteria; Pseudomonadati; Bacteroidota
Description: bacterial SSU rRNA
Rfam family: Bacterial small subunit ribosomal RNA
Source: RNAcentral
AACGCUAGCGGCAGGCUUAACACAUGCAAGUCGAGGGGUAACAUUGUGCUUGCACAGAUGACGACCGGCGCACGGGUGCGUAACGCGUAUACAAUCUGCCUUUUGUUAAGGGAUAGCCCAGAGAAAUUUGGAUUAAUACCUUAUAGUAUGUUUAGUUCGCAUGGACCUAACAUUAAAGAUUGCGACAAAAGAUGAGUAUGCGUCCUAUUAGCUAGAUGGAGUGGUAACGGCACCCCAUGGCGACGAUAGGUAGGGGCCCUGAGAGGGGGAUCCCCCACACUGGUACUGAGACACGGACCAGACUCCUACGGGAGGCAGCAGUGAGGAAUAUUGGACAAUGGAGGCAACUCUGAUCCAGCCAUGCCGCGUGCAGGAUGACUGCCCUAUGGGUUGUAAACUGCUUUUAUACAGGAAGAAACACUCCCUCGAGAAGGGAGCUUGACGGUACUGUAAGAAUAAGGAUCGGCUAACUCCGUGCCAGCAGCCGCGGUAAUACGGAGGAUCCAAGCGUUAUCCGGAAUCAUUGGGUUUAAAGGGUCCGUAGGUGGAUAAUUAAGUCAGAGGUGAAAUCCUGCAGCUCAACUGUAGAAUUGCCUUUGAUACUGGUUAUCUUGAGUUAUUAUGAAGUAGUUAGAAUAUGUAGUGUAGCGGUGAAAUGCAUAGAUAUUACAUAGAAUACCAAUUGCGAAGGCAGAUUACUAAUAAUAUACUGACACUGAUGGACGAAAGCGUGGGGAGCGAACAGGAUUAGAUACCCUGGUAGUCCACGCCGUAAACGAUGG